UAACAAAGUAAACUUUUGUUGCAAUUUUGCAUCCAAGAUUUGAUAGGUCACAUCAUUUCUGGCUUUUAUGCCAAAGGGUGUCCUGAGAAUUGCUAUAAAAAUCGACCUUCUAUCCUAUGAAACUUUAUUUUCCAACCACCUGCUGUUGUAGAAGACUGAUGUGAAUACACCUUCAGGUGCCUGUAGGAUGAAAACAAACUUCCGGAUUCUUCAUGGUCCGCAACAAGCAUAUGGAGCUUCACUGUUAGAGCAACAAGCAUGGACGAUUGACUGUACUGUUGAUCAACAUGCAUCGAAAAGAUUUGAGCAAAGGAUUACCAUAGUCUGUAAAAGAAAAUUUAGUGAGACGACAGAUAGUUCUAACUUUUAAUACGCCCUAUGAAUCGGGAAGUGCAACAAGUUAAUGAAAGCACCGACGGUUAUAGAAAAGGACCCAAAAACAAAUUGAGUCAAAACGAGCCUCAACUUCACAGUCCAAGAAAGGAAGGAACACGCAUGGUACUACGGCACGCACCGUUCUUCCUCCCAACAAUAGGCGCC
This 540-nucleotide long non-coding RNA is filed under the name Brachypodium distachyon (stiff brome). RNAcentral describes it as "long non-coding RNA (BDIS_LNC005180)". The record is from RNAcentral. Lineage: Eukaryota; Viridiplantae; Streptophyta; Magnoliopsida; Poales; Poaceae.